RNAcentral lists this ribosomal RNA (837 nucleotides) under uncultured Sphaerochaeta sp. Its description in RNAcentral is "bacterial SSU rRNA". It matches the Rfam family "Bacterial small subunit ribosomal RNA", at positions 61 to 890 of the family's 1533-position model. The record is from RNAcentral. Lineage: Bacteria; Pseudomonadati; Spirochaetota; Spirochaetia; Spirochaetales; Sphaerochaetaceae.
GUCGAGCGGCAAGGGCCUUCGGGCCCCUAGAGCGGCGGACGGGUGAGUAACACGUGGACAAUCUGCCCCCCGGUCCGGGAUAGCCCAGGGAAACCUGGAUUAAUACCGGAUGAGACGGGACCCGCGGAGGCGGGAUCCGGGAAAGGCGCUGCGGCGCCGCCGGGGGAUGAGUCUGCGUCCCAUUAGCUAGACGGCGGGGUAACGGCCCACCGUGGCGACGAUGGGUAGCCGGCCUGAGAGGGUGGACGGCCACAUUGGAACUGAGACACGGUCCAGACUCCUACGGGAGGCAGCAGCUAAGAAUCUUCCGCAAUGGGCGAAAGCCUGACGGAGCGACGCCGCGUGAACGAAGAAGGCCGUGAGGUUGUAAAGUUCUUUUCGGGAGGGGGAACAACCGUGGCAGGGAAUGGCCGCGGGAUGACGUGAAUCCCGGAAUAAGCCCCGGCUAACUACGUGCCAGCAGCCGCGGUAACACGUAGGGGGCGAGCGUUGUUCGGAAUCAUUGGGCGUAAAGGGCGUGCAGGCGGUCCUGCAAGUCCGGCGUGAAAGACCCCGGCCCAACCGGGGGGACGCGCUGGAAACUGCAGGGCUUGAGUACAGGAGGGGAUGCCGGAAUUCCAGGUGUAGGGGUGAAAUCUGUAGAUAUCUGGAAGAACACCAAUGGCGAAGGCAGGCAUCUGGCCAUGUACUGACGCUGAGACGCGAAGGUGCGGGGAGCAAACAGGUUUAGAUACCCUGGUAGUCCGCACAGUAAACGAUGUGCACCAGGUGGCGGGGGGUCGACCCCCGGUACCGUAGCUAACGCAUUAAGUGCACCGCCUGGGGAGUAUGCUCGCA